UACGAAGGGUGCAAACGUUUGCUCGGAAUCAUUGGGCGUAAAGCGCACGUAGGCGGCUUCGCAAGUCGGAUGUGAAAUCCCUCGGCUCAACCGAGGACGUGCAUCCGAAACUGCGGAGCUUGAGUACUGAAGAGGAUCGCGGAAUUCCCGGUGUAGAGGUGAAAUUCGUAGAUAUCGGGAGGAACACCAGUGGCGAAGGCGGCGAUCUGGGCAGUUACUGACGCUGAGGUGCGAAAGCGUGGGGAGCAAACAGG
RNAcentral lists this ribosomal RNA (254 nucleotides) under uncultured bacterium. RNAcentral's name for it is "partial 16S ribosomal RNA". It matches the Rfam family "Bacterial small subunit ribosomal RNA", at positions 524 to 776 of the family's 1533-position model. The record is from RNAcentral.